CAAUACAAUCAUUUAUAUCAAGGCAUUUUAAUAACUUUUACUAAACUCUAUAAUAAUUGUCAAUUAUUCUAGGAAUGACCGCCAAGUCCAUUUACGACAAGGUGUCAGCAAGUAUGUGCAGAAUGUAUAUUAAAUCCCCUCUAAAUAAUCAAUUAAUGUCAUUCCAAUAUAAUAAUAAAAUAUAUACUGAUUUAAUUACUAAAUAUUUAAUUUUUAUUUCAUAGGAUAUACAAUUGACUCUGAUGGAGGCAAGUGGUUUAAACAAUUAAUGUUUUUAUUUGUCUAUUUAACAGAUAGAAUAAUGACUACAGAUUUACUAAAUUAUAAAUUAUCAUUGAUCAUUANAUGAACCUAUGUUCAAACAACAAAAAAGUUUUAACCCAAAACUAAAAUUAACCACAACUGAUAUGAUACAAUACAAUCAUUUAUAUCAAGCCAUAUUAAUAACUUUUACUAAAUUUUAUAAUAACUGUCAAUUUUUCUAGAUAUGACCGUCAAGGACAUUCACGACAAUCUGACAGAAAGUAUGUGCAGAAUAUAUAUUAAAUCCUCUUUAAAAAAUCAAUUAUUGUAAUUCCAAUAUUAAUAUUAAAAUGUAGACCGAUUUAAUUAUUAACUAGUUAAUUUUUAUUUUAUAGGAUAUGUAAUUGACUCUGAAGGAGGCAAGUGAUUUAAACAAUUAAUGUUUUUAUUUGUCUAUUUAGCAGAUAGAACAAUGACUACAGAAUUUAUAAAAUUAUAAAUUGUCAUUGAUCAUUAUUUUGGUCAAUUAUCAAGGUGUAAAAUAGUUUUUAUUUCAAAGACAUUCUAAAACACAAUUCUAAAAAAAAAAAAACUAAUUUUAAACCGUAUUUAGGGGAACUUCCAAUAGUGCUUAUUAUAAGGUUGAGCAACUGUUAUUCCUCUGAUAAUUUCUUACCUUAAACAUUCCUGGCGUUGACUUAAGAUAAUUUAGUUCACAUAGCCUUAGGUACCUUACCUCCUCCCACUACCAUUAUAUAUUAUGCUCUAACUUCGUAAUUUUUUUUUUCAUAUCAAUUACGUUUAAAACUAUCAAUGAUUUUACUUUUUUAUUAAAAAAUUAUAUAUCAGUAGAUAACAACUAUUACUCUUUUAGUUUUUUAAAUUUGAUUUCAACUAUUCUCACUAAGUUGGUACAUGCCCUUUACCAAAUUAGUACAAAAAUGAGGUAAACUUUUCUUUUCCUGAUUUUAAUCUACUAAUUAUAUGGCUACAAAUGAAUUCUUUUACAAUUUUAUCUGUUUAGAUACUUUUUUUAUAAAUAUCACUAAUGAUGCCACCUCUAUUUUCAAUGAUGCCUUAUUCCAUUAUAUAAAUAGAUUUAUUCCACUGAAAGUACCUACGUGAGAAACCAAGAUUCCUUUAAUGUUUGUCAAAUUCUCUAAAACAACUUAUUAUUAAUAAACGAAAAGCACAUAUUAUCUUUAGGAAGUCUAGUAUUGAUAUAAAUCAAAUAGGUUACUAUAACUAAGAGCCAAAUGCAAGCGGCUUUCAAAACUAGACUAUUCCAUAUAUAUUUGUCACACUGAGCUGUUUAAACAGUAAUGGUAAUUUAAAAAAAAAAUGAUAAUUAUUAAUUUAUUUCUUACUUUCACAGAAUUACGUUAUAAAAACAAUAGUAUGUAUUUUAUAUUUUGAUUAAAAAUAAUUGAUUCUGUUUUAUAAUAAGUGUGCUGAAUAGUAAAUACAUAUUCGCGCUAUUGCUAGUUAUUGUUUCAUUUAAAGUGAUUUCUUGUUUUUCUCGUAAUCAAAUAUUUAUCGAGUAUACCAUAGGUAUAUUUCUUUUUUACGUUUUUUUCAACAAAACGGAUAUGAUAUCUUUGUGUACCUGCGUUUUCUACUAUUUCUGCAUUCUGAUAGUUUAGACUAUUUAUGGAUAGAAAUAACACUUUCUGAUGUUAUUAACUAAUCACAGUUAAGGUGAUCUCUUUUAAACAAAUAUUGAACAAAUAUUAUAUAUAUUUUAAAUAAUUUUACUUGAUGUGGAUAAAGUCUUAUCGAAAUAUAUUAAAUAAUUAUAAUACAUUUUAUUUUAAAGAUGAACUUGUUACAGGUAUGGAUUUUAAUUAAUUGCAUUAGAAAAAAUGUGUUUUUUUGUGAAUCCUAACAGUAACAAAUAAA
RNAcentral lists this long non-coding RNA (2142 nucleotides) under Cinara cedri. The record is from RNAcentral. Lineage: Eukaryota; Metazoa; Arthropoda; Insecta; Hemiptera; Aphididae.